GGUUGCUCUAAAGAUGUUGGAAAUAAUGGGCGCUACAGAUGUGUAUUAUAUCGGUUGAUAAAAACUGAGAUUUAAGCAAUUUCUUAUUGUACUACAAUCAGAAAUUCCAACUGCAAAAACAGAAUUAUUUUUGGAUUAGGAAGAUGUUGAUACUGAUAGACUGAUAGGCAUUGUAUUGUCGGUAAAGUAUCCGUGUCUCCUGAAUCUGACACAUUUUUCUAUAUUGUAUUAAUAGUUAUAUAGUGACAACAUAUUUGGCAGUGCUAUACAAUUAUACACCGGGAUAUAAAAUAACAAGUAAUGUAGGCAGUAGCAAGAGGUGUAGAAGCUUACAGUCUAU
Molecule: non-coding RNA, 340 nt
Organism: Pelobates cultripes (western spadefoot toad)
Lineage: Eukaryota; Metazoa; Chordata; Amphibia; Anura; Pelobatidae
Source: the annotation of a GenBank genome assembly